This is a non-coding RNA of Acanthosepion pharaonis, 106 nucleotides long. Lineage: Eukaryota; Metazoa; Mollusca; Cephalopoda; Sepiida; Sepiidae. The record is from the annotation of a GenBank genome assembly.
GCCAUUUCACAUUGAAACAUCGGUUCCUGUACGAUCACCGAAGUUAAGUAACGCCGAACCUGGUGAAUACUUAAAUGGGUGACCGCUUAGGAAUACCAGUUGUUGU